CUCUCUCUCAAUCAUCCCAUUUUCAAAGCCUUAGCAUUCUCUCUCUCUCGUUAUCUCAACGAACUUGGAAAGGUAAAGAAGGGCCUGCACGAGCCCAUGAGGGUUGAUACGGGCUUUUGCAUGGGUGUUACCUAUUUUUAGAGAAUCCAUGCCAAAUGUAAACCUGAAACCUAAAAAGAUGCGAUCUCUAGCAAAGGUCCUUUUAGAAUCUUCAAGGCCCUUUGAUGAUGGGUUGUAUAGAGCACUUGAUAUCUAUUUCAAGGUUUGAAUCCAUUCAUCGAUAUUUACUGUAGGUUGGAUUUGUAACUUGCUUUCCUUUUUACAAUGUUUUACCUUAGCAAGUUCUAACUUGCAGAAAAUGUCUUGUCUAGCUUGUUUGUUUUUGCGCCACAUAGAGAUAUAUCAUUAGGUGCUAAAUGACUAGUUCCAGUAGUUUAAAUAUGCAAUGAAAUAAUCUUGUGCAUGUAGCAUCACUUCGAUAACAUUUUUUUUUUACUCAAAUAAAUUAUAUCCUGCUUGCCAAAGAUUUUCAUUUGUUUCAAAUAUUUAGUCAUUCUGUUUCAAAUACUUAGGGCCCAAAAGGACGUGGGUAGGGGUAGUAAGAAAAGACUUGAUGACCUAUGGUCCAACUAAAGUUAUGGGCCUUGAUAGAGUGGAAUGGAGUGGAACAGGGUUCAUUUGGCUAACCCCCAUUAGCUGUGAGCCUGGUAUAAUGCUUAGAGGAUGAUGAUGAUGAUGAUAAAUUUGAUAACAUGUUUCUUUUUAUCUCAUCUGUUUCAAAUAUUUAAUUAUUCUGUUUUUGUGGUUCAUAAUGAUAUAAGUUAUCAUCCUAAUAUAUGUCAUUUUCUUAACUGUCCA
This is a long non-coding RNA of Magnolia sinica, 858 nucleotides long. RefSeq lists it as uncharacterized. The record is from RefSeq and is a predicted model, not a curated record. NCBI's taxonomy places the organism in Eukaryota, Viridiplantae, Streptophyta, Magnoliopsida, Magnoliales, Magnoliaceae. The transcript is spliced from 3 exons.